UACGUAGGCAGCGAGCGUUGUUCGGAGUUACUGGGCGUAAAGCGUGCGUAGGCGGUGUCUUAAGUUUGUUGUGAAAUCUCCCGGCUUAACCGGGAGGGUGCGGCGAAUACUGAGAUGCUGGAGUGCCGGAGAGGUAAGCGGAAUUCCUGGUGUAGCGGUGAAAUGCGUAGAUAUACAGGAGGAACACCGGCGGUGUAGACGGCUUUCUGGACCGUAGCUGACGCUGAGACACGAAAGCGUGGGUAGCAAACAGG
RNAcentral lists this ribosomal RNA (254 nucleotides) under uncultured bacterium. RNAcentral describes it as "partial 16S ribosomal RNA". It matches the Rfam family "Bacterial small subunit ribosomal RNA", at positions 524 to 776 of the family's 1533-position model. The record is from RNAcentral.